CUUUCUUGAAUGGAGGGGCCCAGAACUGGACAUAAUACUGCAGAUGCGGUCUCACCAGGGCAGAGUAGAGGGGGAGGAGAACCUCUUUCGACCUACUAACCACACUCCUUCUAACACACCCCAGGAUGCCGUUGGCCUUCUUGAAGUGCUGGCUUAUGGUCACCCUGGGCACGUUAGAAACACUGUGGCCAGCAGCUUGAGGGAGGUGAUCCAGGACACUUUCCUGCUCAACCUCCUGUAGGGAAUUGCUUUUAGCAGGGAGGUCGGUCUCGAUGAUCUCCAGAGGUCCCUUCCAGCCUCUAUGGUUCUGAGAUUGUAUGAGAAAGAAACUGCAAGAACCACGUGCUAAUUGCACGGGAUGGAUUUGGCAGAGGCAAUCCCUUUUCCACGGCAAAAGGAAGGUCUUAGCAGCACCUGUUCCAGUGCGUCACCACCCUCUGAGUGGUACCAAACAACUCUGUUUUCAAAAAGUGGAUUGGAAAGGUGUUUGGUGCUACCCUCUAGCUUUAAACUGGUAGUUGUAAUUUAAAUAUUUCAUACUUUUCCUAUUUACCUACUUGGACUGAAAUUUUCCUUGUCAUUAUCCAUCCCAUGCUUUACUUUUUUUCUUUGGAAAGCCUUGGCUAGCACAGCUUCAGUUAUUUCUGAGCAUAAGGUAAAGGAAAAUAUCAUUAUGCACUUUCAGAUGACUGGACGCCAUCACUGUGCUGCAGCUGGAUCACAAAAAGGGCAGAAAAGGCUUAUGUCUGUACUACCUUUGUGAGAGCUUUCCAAAAUAUGCCAGGUUAUCAGGUAUCAUCUACUUUGUAAAGACCUGAAGGUUAAUUUUCCUAAUUUUCCUUGACUGAGGUUCUCCAGUCCGGAUCCUUGAAGCGGUAAGUAGGACUUCCUCUCUGAAUACAUCUCUGACACACUGGAGGUAGCAGAACUGAGAAAAGGAAGGGUACUUUCCUCCAUUCCCUCAAAUAAGUACAAACCACAAGACCCUUAACUCCUCGCAGGUCCUUUGCCUGGCUCUGCUCACCUCCUUCGGCUUGGAUGAGAUGAAGGCUCUUGGGAGGUCUCUGCUCUGUCUUGCCCUGCUGCUCACCACCAUCAAGCCACUUAACCAAAUUUUUCAUAAAAGCCAGUCAUUCUGUCUAAUUUUAUAUGGGUUGAAUAUGGGAAAAGAGCUUAAGCUUCCCAUUUGCAAUUAAAGACUCUGGGUGCCAAGCUUCAAAAAAAGUUGAAAUACAGCAUGAAAUACUUCACCAUAUCAGUUUCUACAGGAUGCUCAUCUAAAAGCAGUGUCAAAAUUUAUACCUUGGUGCCACUAUGUAAUGCAGAAAUUCAAAUUUCAAGCAUAUUUUUUACAAAUAGAGGAUUGUUUUUGUUUUGUUUUGUUUUGUUUUCAGGCAGUGAUAAGCACUAGAAAAAGUAAUGAUUUACAUUUCAGUGCCCAAGAUUUCAAAUUAAAGGAAUUUGAAGUAAUGGGAUGUAAGGAAAUACUCAAAGAUGAGGGUGAGAAAAGAAGGUUCAGAGUAGAAGCAGAAAAAGGAUCAUGUAAUUAAAACUUUAUCAGCAUGCACUCAUAGUAAGCUACAGUUUCACCAUUAGCCUAAAUUAUAGCCCUUCUUCAGCUCAUACCUCAUACCUCAUACAAAUAACAUUUUUAGGUGUUUUGACUACAGUACAUGCAACACUCUACAUGUAUACCUUGCAGAAUGUGCAGCAUCUAGUUUGGUGUUGAUUUUUGCUUGAAAAUACAGUUUCUUUGAAAAAAAAAAAAAAUCAGUAUGUUUCUGUCUUAGUUUUUCAUUACUCUUUCUAGAUGAAAAAAAAAAAGAGCCAGGUUUCAUGCAGGACACAAACCAUUCUUAGUUUAAUUGCGCAUGGCCCCCAAAUUCCUGGGCUCAUAUCUGAAGAUCAGAUCAAAGACCACUCGCUUGGCACAAUUCCACCACCAUUUCAAUAAAACG
This 1958-nucleotide long non-coding RNA is filed under the name Gallus gallus (chicken). Its description in RNAcentral is "lncRNA (ENSGALG00010002974.1)". Lineage: Eukaryota; Metazoa; Chordata; Aves; Galliformes; Phasianidae. The record is from RNAcentral.